This 30-nucleotide non-coding RNA is filed under the name Rattus norvegicus (Norway rat). The record is from RNAcentral. Lineage: Eukaryota; Metazoa; Chordata; Mammalia; Rodentia; Muridae.
UAACAUUUACUGAGUGCUUAUAAUGUGCCA